RNAcentral lists this transfer RNA (72 nucleotides) under Phrynosoma platyrhinos (Desert horned lizard). RNAcentral's name for it is "tRNA-OTHER". Lineage: Eukaryota; Metazoa; Chordata; Lepidosauria; Squamata; Phrynosomatidae. The record is from RNAcentral.
GCCAGCGUGGUUUAGUGGUUUGAGAGCUGGAUGACGACUCUGGAGACCAGGGUUCGAAUCCUGGCUCAGCCA